GGGCUUGACAUCCCACGAACCUGUUGAAAGGCAGGAGUGCCCGCAAGGGAGCGCGGAGACAGGUGGUGCAUGGCUGUCGUCAGCUCGUGUCGUGAGAUGUUGGGUUAAGUCCCGCAACGAGCGCAACCCUCACCCCUUGUUGCUACCAGGUAAAGCUGGGCACUCUAGGGGAACUGCCCCGGUCAACGAGGAGGAAGGCGGGGAUGACGUCAAGUCAUCAUGCCCCUUACGUCCUGGGCUACACACGUGCUACAAUGGCCGGUACAAAGGGAUGCCACACCGCGAGGUAGAGCUAAACCCAAAAAGCCGGUCUAAGUUCAGAUUGGAGUCUGCAACUCGACUCCAUGAAGGAGGAAUCGCUAGUAAUCGCGUAUCAGCACGACGCGGUGGAUACGUUCCCGGGCCUUGUACACACCGCCCGUCACACCACGAAAGCCAGCUGUACUCGAAGUCGCUGAG
This 459-nucleotide ribosomal RNA is filed under the name NC10 bacterium enrichment culture clone TH5-3. Its description in RNAcentral is "bacterial SSU rRNA". It matches the Rfam family "Bacterial small subunit ribosomal RNA", at positions 977 to 1434 of the family's 1533-position model. Lineage: Bacteria; Methylomirabilota (SeqCode). The record is from RNAcentral.